RNAcentral lists this ribosomal RNA (253 nucleotides) under uncultured bacterium. Its description in RNAcentral is "partial 16S ribosomal RNA". It matches the Rfam family "Bacterial small subunit ribosomal RNA", at positions 524 to 776 of the family's 1533-position model. The record is from RNAcentral.
UACGGAGGGGGCUAGCGUUGUUCGGAAUUACUGGGCGUAAAGCGCACGUAGGCGGCUUUGUAAGUUAGAGGUGAAAGCCCAGGGCUUAACUCUGGAAUUGCCUUUAAGACUGCAUCGCUAGAAUCGUGGAGAGGUGAGUGGAAUUCCGAGUGUAGAGGUGAAAUUCGUAGAUAUUCGGAAGAACACCAGUGGCGAAGGCGACUCACUGGACACGUAUUGACGCUGAGGUGCGAAAGCGUGGGGAGCAAACGGG